AGAGUUUGAUCCUGGCUCAGGAUGAACCCUGGCGGCGUGCUUAACACUUGCAAGUCAAGCGAACCCUUUGGAUUUAAUUCUUCGAAUGAAAUUCCUUAUGACUGACCGGCGAACGGGUGAGUAACCCGGGGGUAACCUGCCUCCUACAGGGGGAUAACAGUUAAAAAUGACUGCUAAUCCCGCAUAAAACCACAGUACUGCUUGGUCCACUGGUAAAAACUCCGGUGGUAUGAGAUGGACCCGCGUCUGAUUAGGCAGUUGGCGGGGUAACGGCCCACCAAACCGACGAUCAGUAGCCGACCUGAGAGGGUGACCGGCCACAUUGGGACUGAGACACGGCCCAAACUCCUACGGGAGGCAGCAGUGGGGAAUAUUGCACAAUGGGCGAAAGCCUGAUGCAGCGACGCCGCGUGAAGGAUGUAGUAUUUCGGUAUGUAAACUUCUAUCAGCAGGGAAGAAAAUGACGGUACCUGACUAAGAAGCCCCGGCUAACUACGUGCCAGCAGCCGCGGUAAUACGUAGGGGGCAAGCGUUAUCCGGAUUUACUGGGUGUAAAGGGAGCGUAGACGGCGGUGCAAGCCAGAUGUGAAAGCCCGGGGCUCAACCCCGGGACUGCAUUUGGAACUGUAUGGCUGGAGUGUCGGAGAGGCAAGUGGAAUUCCUAGUGUAGCGGUGAAAUGCGUAGAUAUUAGGAGGAACACCAGUGGCGAAGGCGGCUUGCUGGACGAUGACUGACGUUGAGGCUCGAAAGCGUGGGGAGCAAACCAGGAUUAGAUACCCUGGUAGUCCACGCCGUAAACGAUGACUUCUAGGUGUUGGGUAGCAAAGCUCUUCGGUGCCGCAGCACACGCAAUAAGUAGUUCCCCUGGGGAGGACGUUUGCAAGAAUGAAACUCAAAGGAAUUGACGGGGACCCGCACCAGCGGUGGAGCAUGUGGUUUAAUUUGAAGCAACGCGAAGGACCUUACCUGGGCUUGACAUUCCGCUGACGACGGAGUAAUGUCCGUUUCCCUUUGAGGCCUGGGAGACCGGUGGUGCAAGGUUGUUGUCAGCUUGUGUUGUGAGAUGUUGGGUUAAGUCCCGCCACGAGCGCCACCCCUAUCCUUCGUAGCCAGCCGCAAGGCCGGGCCCUUUAGGGAGACUGCCCGGGACAACCUGGAGGAAGGUGGGGAUGACGUCAAAUCAUCAUGCCCCUUAUGUCCAGGGCUACACACGUGCUACAAUGGCGUAAACAAAGGGAAGCGAAGCCGUGAGGUGGAGCGAAUCCCAAAAAUAACGUCUCAGUUCGGAUUGUAGUCUGCAACUCGACUACAUGAAGCUGGAAUCGCUAGUAAUCGCGAAUCAGAAUGUCGCGGUGAAUACGUUCCCGGGUCUUGCACACACCGCCC
This 1387-nucleotide ribosomal RNA is filed under the name uncultured bacterium. RNAcentral describes it as "bacterial SSU rRNA". It matches the Rfam family "Bacterial small subunit ribosomal RNA". The record is from RNAcentral.